UUUCCGUAGGUGAACCUGCGGAAGGAUCAUUAUUGUAUAACCGAGGUGCGAGGGCUGUCGCUGACCCGAAAGGUCGUGCACGCCCGAGUGCCCUCACACACAUCCAUCUCACCCCUAUGUGCACCACCGCGUGGGUCCCCCUUGGGCUUGUUCGGAGGGGGGCUUACGUUGUCACACAAACUUUGUAUGCAGUGUAGAAUGUAUUUUUUGUUUUUGCGAUCACGCAAUCAAUACAACUUUCAACAACGGAUCUCUUGGCUCUC
This 263-nucleotide unclassified non-coding RNA is filed under the name plant metagenome. Its description in RNAcentral is "partial contains small subunit ribosomal RNA, internal transcribed spacer 1, and 5.8S ribosomal RNA". The record is from RNAcentral.